Molecule: long non-coding RNA, 1118 nt
Organism: Solanum pennellii
Lineage: Eukaryota; Viridiplantae; Streptophyta; Magnoliopsida; Solanales; Solanaceae
Exons: 2
Source: RefSeq, a predicted model, not a curated record
CCAGCCCAAAUCUCCGACCCGGCCCACUCCUUAUCCCCUUCCCAAAAGAAAAUUCAUCAACAUUCUUUUCCCCUUCACACGAUAAUAACGUGCAACAACAAUGCGUAGCAACCCGAAAUUCCCAGCGAAAAAAACCUACAAGCCAGUUGUGCGUGAUAUUCUUCCUCCCCUGUUCCUGUCUUCAUAUGGCUACAGCAGUAGAAAGUACCAGAAAGGCACACGAUUUGCGUCCUUGCAUCCUCCAGAUGGAGCUACGUCACAACAAGGACGCUUGGGAUCGCUCCCAAGCAUCUGUUCCCCUUUCUUCUUCUAGUUUGAGUCGAAUUUUCAGAAAAAGAUUCCUGAUCAAAAAAUGGAAAAAGUGUUUUUGAAUUGAAAUGGGAAUGGGCCCAAUCUCCUCUGUUUUCACCCCCAAAAUCGAAACCUAGUUUUCCCUAUAUAUACUAUCUUUGGAUUCACUGUUAAGGGGGAUUUUUUUUCGGUUGGCUUCUUUCUUUUGGUUUGAGAUUUCUGGAAAAAUUGGGAGAGAUUCUUGUAGUUGAAAGAAAAAAAAUUAGAAGUGAGUUGAGGCAAUUUUAACUAAGGGAGAGAGGAUAGUUCAAGUAGUUAGUCAAAAAAAUACAUGUAAAAUACAUUCGAGAAAGGGUAAACUAGGCAUUUUUGCUUGCUAUUGUAUUCGUGAUUAUGUGGUGGAACUCUCCGUCAUUACCCUGCUUAUUCUUGUCUUGGUCGCUGCUUUUGAAAAGGGUCCUCAUAGACUUUGGCUUGACAUCUUCCUUUGGGCUAUGGAGGCCCAAUUCCUUUUACUCGAGUCAAGCCUACAAAAUCGAUGAACAGGUCCCGAAGGAAAGGAAACCAAAGUGGAAAAAGUUGAAGAGAGUGAGCCAUAAGAGUCCAAUUGUUUUUUUAAAAUUUUGUAUUUUGCUAUGUUGGGCCUAAGCCCCCUUAUUUUUUUUUAUCAUUAUUGUAUUCUGAGAUUCCUAGGAAAGGUAAAAAAGUGGGCCUAACGCCCAAAUCAAAACGAAAUGGGUCCAAAUAUCGGUUCAGGUGGACUGAAAUACGAUUUGGACUCAAUUCUCUCUCCCUCACUUUUACUUUAACGCGUAUUUACUUGUUAA